UACGAAGGGGGCUAGCGUUGUUCGGAAUUACUGGGCGUAAAGCGCGUGUAGGCGGGUCCUUAAGUCAGGGGUGAAAUGCCAAGGCUCAACCUUGGAACUGCCUUUGAUACUGGGGAUCUUGAGUCCGGGAGAGGUGAGUGGAACUGCGAGUGUAGAGGUGAAAUUCGUAGAUAUUCGCAAGAACACCAGUGGCGAAGGCGGCUCUCUGGGCCUGUACUGACGCUGAGGAGCGAAAGCGUGGGGAGCGAACAGG
This 253-nucleotide ribosomal RNA is filed under the name uncultured bacterium. RNAcentral describes it as "partial 16S ribosomal RNA". It matches the Rfam family "Bacterial small subunit ribosomal RNA", at positions 524 to 776 of the family's 1533-position model. The record is from RNAcentral.